Molecule: non-coding RNA, 746 nt
Organism: Onthophagus taurus
Lineage: Eukaryota; Metazoa; Arthropoda; Insecta; Coleoptera; Scarabaeidae
Source: RefSeq, a predicted model, not a curated record
CCAACUAUACUUGUUACCAGAAAUUUUUGUUUUUAGUGACGCAUCCCCUUUAUUGAUGUUCUAUUGUUAUUUAAUCGUGUCGGCGAUGUUAAUGCUAUUUUGUUUCCGAAAAAAGAUAAUGUCAUUUGGAAGAAGCUUCUCUGACAGUGUUACCGGCUUUUUCACAAUAAACUUUACAAAAAUGUCCCAAUGGAGUCUUUCUUGUAAUCUUUACUUUGAAAAUUAUCUAUCAACAAACAGAAAAUUGAAGAUUUAUUACAAUUCGGUAUUCCAAAGGUGAUGUGGAAUAUAGGUGGAACUGAAACAUGUUGAAGGAUAGACACUAGAGAUUCAAGGAAUUAAUUCUUUAAUGAUAAUUAAAGAAUAUAAUAAAUGGAGACACUUAAAUUUUUGAAGACAAUGUUAUAGUUCAACAGGAACAGUUCCUGAAAUGAGGCGGUCAGAUGCAAAGGGAUGUAAGGGACAAAAUUCGGAUUUAGAGAAAGUGAACUUCAUAGUUAAAAUCCUUUAGACAAAUUAAUGGACCAAUGGAAAAUAUGAUUUGAAUUCUUUAUUUGCUUGAACUGUAUUAGCUGUUUUGGCUAUAAAAGCUAUAAAAGCUAAAACUAUAAAAUAUUAAAAUAAUGAUAUAAUAUACAUAUUAAAUAAUUAAAUCGGUAAUCAAUCCAAUGGUCUUAAAUUGCUUCAUUUUUCUAACCUAUACAUUAUUACAAUAAUAAAUUUAACAUUUAUUUAACUUAUUUAAC